RNAcentral lists this ribosomal RNA (414 nucleotides) under uncultured bacterium. RNAcentral describes it as "partial 16S ribosomal RNA". It matches the Rfam family "Bacterial small subunit ribosomal RNA", at positions 355 to 761 of the family's 1533-position model. The record is from RNAcentral.
UGGGGAAUAUUGCACAAUGGGCGCAAGCCUGAUGCAGCCAUGCCGCGUGUGUGAAGAAGGCCUUCGGGUUGUAAAGCACUUUCAGCGAGGAGGAAGGGUAGUGUGUUAAUAGCACAUUGCAUUGACGUUACUCGCAGAAGGAGCACCGGCUAACCCCGUGCCAGCAGCCGCGGUAAUACGGAGGGUGCAAGCGUUAAUCGGAAUUACUGGGCGUAAAGCGCACGCAGGCGGUUUGUUAAGUCAGAUGUGAAAUCCCCGCGCUUAACGUGGGAACUGCAUUUGAAACUGGCAAGCUAGAGUCUUGUAGAGGGGGGUAGAAUUCCAGGUGUAGCGGUGAAAUGCGUAGAGAUCUGGAGGAAUACCGGUGGCGAAGGCGGCCCCCUGGACAAAGACCGACGCUCAGGUGCGAAAGCG